UUCAACUCUUCUACGGGAGGCAGCAGUGGGGAAUAUUGGACAAUGGGCGAAAGCCUGAUCCAGCCAUGCCGCGUGUGUGAAGAAGGUCUUCGGAUUGUAAAGCACUUUAAGUUGGGAGGAAGGGCAGUUACCUAAUACGUGACUGUCUUGACGUUACCGACAGAAUAAGCACCGGCUAACUCUGUGCCAGCAGCCGCGGUAAUACAGAGGGUGCAAGCGUUAAUCGGAAUUACUGGGCGUAAAGCGCGCGUAGGUGGUUUGUUAAGUUGAAUGUGAAAUCCCCGGGCUCAACCUGGGAACUGCAUCCAAAACUGGCAAGCUAGAGUAUGGUAGAGGGUAGUGGAAUUUCCUGUGUAGCGGUGAAAUGCGUAGAUAUAGGAAGGAACACCAGUGGCGAAGGCGACUACCUGGACUGAUACUGACACUGAGGUGCGAAAGCGUGGG
RNAcentral lists this ribosomal RNA (444 nucleotides) under Pseudomonas sp. J05. Its description in RNAcentral is "bacterial SSU rRNA". It matches the Rfam family "Bacterial small subunit ribosomal RNA", at positions 329 to 765 of the family's 1533-position model. Lineage: Bacteria; Pseudomonadati; Pseudomonadota; Gammaproteobacteria; Pseudomonadales; Pseudomonadaceae. The record is from RNAcentral.